UCUUGGUCAUUUAGAGGAAGUAAAAGUCGUAACAAGGUUUCCGUAGGUGAACCUGCGGAAGGAUCAUUACCUAGAGUUGUAGGCUUUGCCUGCUAUCUCUUACCCAUGUCUUUUGAGUACCUUACGUUUCCUCGGUGGGUUCGCCCACCGAUUGGACAAACUUAAACCCUUUGCAGUUGAAAUCAGCGUCUGAAAAAACUUAAUAGUUACAACUUUCAACAACGGAUCUCUUGGUUCUGGCAUCGAUGAAGAACGCAGCGAAAUGCGAUAAGUAGUGUGAAUUGCAGAAUUCAGUGAAUCAUCGAAUCUUUGAACGCACAUUGCGCCCCUUGGUAUUCCAUGGGGCAUGCCUGUUCGAGCGUCAUUUGUACCUUCAAGCUCUGCUUGGUGUUGGGUGUUUGUCUCCUGUAGACUCGCCUUAAAACAAUUGGCAGCCGGCGUAUUGAUUUCGGAGCGCAGUACAUCUCGCGCUUUGCACUCAUAACGACGACAUCCAAAAGUACAUUUUUACACUCUUGACCUCGGAUCAGGUAGGGAUACCCGCUGAACUUAAGCAUAUCAAUAAGCGGAGGAACAC
Molecule: ribosomal RNA, 577 nt
Filed under: dothideomycete sp. 7685
Lineage: Eukaryota; Fungi; Ascomycota; Dothideomycetes
Description: eukaryotic LSU rRNA
Rfam family: 5.8S ribosomal RNA (bases 211-364)
Source: RNAcentral